CGGGAAACCGGAGCUAAUACCGGAUAAGAUAUCGAACCGCAUGGUUCGAUAGUGAAAGAUGGUUUUGCUAUCACUUAUAGAUGGACCCGCGCCGUAUUAGCUAGUUGGUGAGGUAACGGCUCACCAAGGCAACGAUACGUAGCCGACCUGAGAGGGUGAUCGGCCACACUGGAACUGAGACACGGUCCAGACUCCUACGGGAGGCAGCAGUU
This 212-nucleotide ribosomal RNA is filed under the name uncultured Staphylococcus sp. RNAcentral's name for it is "partial 16S ribosomal RNA". It matches the Rfam family "Bacterial small subunit ribosomal RNA", at positions 150 to 355 of the family's 1533-position model. The record is from RNAcentral. Lineage: Bacteria; Bacillati; Bacillota; Bacilli; Caryophanales; Staphylococcaceae.